GACGAACGCUGGCGGCGUGCCUAAUACAUGCAAGUAGAACGCUGAAGAGAGGAGCUUGCUCUUCUUGGAUGAGUUGCGAACGGGUGAGUAACGCGUAGGUAACCCGCCUGGUAGCGGGGGAUAACUAUUGGAAACGAUAGCUAAUACCGCAUAAAAUGGAUUAUCGCAUGAUAAUCCAUUGAAAGGUGCAAAUGCAUCACUACCAGAUGGACCUGCGUUGUAUUAGCUAGUUGGUGGGGUAACGGCUCACCAAGGCGACGAUACAUAGCCGACCUGAGAGGGUGAUCGGCCACACUGGGACUGAGACACGGCCCAGACUCCUACGGGAGGCAGCAGUAGGGAAUCUUCGGCAAUGGACGGAAGUCUGACCGAGCAACGCCGCGUGAGUGAAGAAGGUUUUCGGAUCGUAAAGCUCUGUUGUAAGAGAAGAACGAGUGUGAGAGUGGAAAGUUCACACUGUGACGGUAUCUUACCAGAAAGGGACGGCUAACUACGUGCCAGCAGCCGCGGUAAUACGUAGGUCCCGAGCGUUGUCCGGAUUUAUUGGGCGUAAAGCGAGCGCAGGCGGUUAGAUAAGUCUGAAGUUAAAGGCUGUGGCUUAACCAUAGUACGCUUUGGAAACUGUUUAACUUGAGUGCAAGAGGGGAGAGUGGAAUUCCAUGUGUAGCGGUGAAAUGCGUAGAUAUAUGGAGGAACACCGGUGGCGAAAGCGGCUCUCUGGCUUGUAACUGACGCUGAGGCUCGAAAGCGUGGGGAGCAAACAGG
Molecule: ribosomal RNA, 765 nt
Filed under: uncultured Streptococcus sp.
Lineage: Bacteria; Bacillati; Bacillota; Bacilli; Lactobacillales; Streptococcaceae
Description: bacterial SSU rRNA
Rfam family: Bacterial small subunit ribosomal RNA
Source: RNAcentral